AAGGGGGCUCUGUGGAUCUACACAGACGGUGGGGACGAAAGCUGGGGACGCACACGGGAUGAGAUACCUUGUUGUCCUACCCAUAACUAUCAGGACGUGGUGUUGCCCUGUACGGGCCAUGUCCCGUAGCUAACGCGAUAACUCCUGCGCCUGGAGAGCACGGUCGCAAGACUGAAUCUCAAGGGAUUUGACGGGGGCCCGCACAAGCGGUGGCACGUGUGGUUCAUUUCGACGCAACGCGAAGCACCUCACCUGGGCUUGAACCGCACAGGACCAUCUUUAGAAACAGCGACUUCCCGCAAGGGACCUGUGUAGAGGUGCUGCAUGGCUGUCGUCAGCUCGUGCCGUGAGGUGUUGGGUUAAGUCCCGCAGCGAGCGCAACCCUUACUUAUAGUUGCCACCCGCAAGGGGGAACUCUAUGAGGACUGCUCCGGAUAACGGAGAGGAAGGUGGGGAUGAGGUCAAGUCAGCAUGGCCUUUAUGUUCAGGGCUACACACGUGUUACAAUGCGCGCCACAAAGCGUUGCAAACCCGCGAGGGGGAGCUAAUCGCAAAAAAGCGCGCUCAGUUCGGAUUGCAGUCUGCAACUCGACUGCAUGAAGCCGGAAUCGCUAGUAAUGGCGCAUCAGAACGGCGCCGUGAAUACGUUCCCGGGCCUUGUACACACCGCCCGUCACAUCACGAAAGUGGGCUGUACUAGAAAUCGCCGUGCCAACCGCAAGGAGGCAGGCGCUCAAGGUAUGACUCAUGAUUGGGGUGAAGUCGUAACAAGGUAACC
This 778-nucleotide ribosomal RNA is filed under the name uncultured soil bacterium. RNAcentral's name for it is "bacterial SSU rRNA". It matches the Rfam family "Bacterial small subunit ribosomal RNA", at positions 718 to 1501 of the family's 1533-position model. The record is from RNAcentral.